RNAcentral lists this ribosomal RNA (253 nucleotides) under uncultured bacterium. Its description in RNAcentral is "partial 16S ribosomal RNA". It matches the Rfam family "Bacterial small subunit ribosomal RNA", at positions 524 to 776 of the family's 1533-position model. The record is from RNAcentral.
UACGGAGGGGGCAAGCGUUGUUCGGAAUUACUGGGCGUAAAGGGCGCGUAGGCGGCCUGUUAAGUCGAACGUGAAAUCCCCGGGCUCAACCCGGGAACUGCGUCCGAUACUGGCAGGCUUGAAUUCGGGAGAGGGAUGCGGAAUUCCAGGUGUAGCGGUGAAAUGCGUAGAUAUCUGGAGGAACACCGGUGGCGAAGGCGGCAUCCUGGACCGAGAUUGACGCUGAUGCGCGAAAGCCAGGGGAGCAAACGGG